GGGAAUCACUGGGCGUAAAGCGUGCGUAGGCGGUUGUGUAAGUCUGAAGUGAAAGUCCAAGGCUCAACCUUGGGAUUGCUUUGGAAACUGCAUGACUUGAGUGCUGGAGAGGCAAGGGGAAUUCCACGUGUAGCGGUGAAAUGCGUAGAUAUGUGGAGGAAUACCAGUGGCGAAGGCGCCUUGCUGGACAGUGACUGACGCUGAGGCACGAAAGCGUGGGGAGCAAACAGGAUUAGAUACCCUGGUAGUCCACGCCGUAAACGAUGAGUGCUAGGUGUUGGGGGGACACACCCCAGUGCCGAAGGAAACCCAAUAAGCACUCCGCCUGGGGAGUACGGUCGCAAGACUGAAACUCAAAGGAAUUGACGGGGGCCCGCACAAGCAGUGGAGCAUGUGGUUUAAUUCGAAGCAACGCGAAGAACCUUACCAGGGCUUGACAUCCCUCUGACCGGUGCAGAGAUGUACCUUCCCUUCGGGGCAGAGGAGACAGGUGGUGCAUGGUUGUCGUCAGCUCGUGUCGUGAGAUGUUGGGUUAAGUCCCGCAACGAGCGCAACCCUUGAUCUGUGUUACCAGCACGUAGAGGUGGGGACUCACAGGUGACUGCCGGCGUAAGUCGGAGGAAGGCGGGGAUGACGUCAAAUCAUCAUGCCCUUUAUGUCCUGGGCUACACACGUGCUACAAUGGGCGGUACAACGGGAAGCGAAGCCGCGAGGUGGAGCAAAACCUAAAAAGCCGUUCGUAGUUCGGAUUGCAGGCUGCAACUCGCCUGCAUGAAGCCGGAAUUGCUAGUAAUCGCGGAUCAGCAUGCCGCGGUGAAUCCGUUCCCGGGCCUUGUACACACCGCCCGUCACACCACGAGAGUCGGCAACACCCGAAGUCGGUGAGGUAACCGUUAUGGAGCCAGCCGCCGAA
RNAcentral lists this ribosomal RNA (913 nucleotides) under Alicyclobacillus acidoterrestris. RNAcentral describes it as "bacterial SSU rRNA". It matches the Rfam family "Bacterial small subunit ribosomal RNA", at positions 546 to 1460 of the family's 1533-position model. Lineage: Bacteria; Bacillati; Bacillota; Bacilli; Caryophanales; Alicyclobacillaceae. The record is from RNAcentral.